GGCCUGUUCGUCUAACGGUUAGGACGUAAGAUUCUCAUUCUUGAAAUAGGAGUUCGAUUCUCCUACGGGCUA
This 72-nucleotide transfer RNA is filed under the name Bacteroidales bacterium. RNAcentral describes it as "tRNA-Glu". It matches the Rfam family "tRNA". Rfam says of the family: Transfer RNA (tRNA) molecules are approximately 80 nucleotides in length. Their secondary structure includes four short double-helical elements and three loops (D, anti-codon, and T loops). Further hydrogen bonds mediate the characteristic L-shaped molecular structure. tRNAs have two regions of fundamental functional importance: the anti-codon, which is responsible for specific mRNA codon recognition, and the 3' end, to which the tRNAs corresponding amino acid is attached (by aminoacyl-tRNA synthetases). tRNAs cope with the degeneracy of the genetic code in two manners: having more than one tRNA (with a specific anti-codon) for a particular amino acid; and 'wobble' base-pairing, i.e. permitting non-standard base-pairing at the 3rd anti-codon position. The record is from RNAcentral. Lineage: Bacteria; Pseudomonadati; Bacteroidota; Bacteroidia; Bacteroidales.